CCUACGGGGGGCAGCAGUGAGGAAUAUUGGUCAAUGGACGAGAGUCUGAACCAGCCAAGUAGCGUGAAGGAUGACUGCCCUAUGGGUUGUAAACUUCUUUUAUAUGGGAAUAAAACAGGGUAUGUAUACCCUCUUUUAUGUACCAUAUGAAUAAGGAUCGUCUAACUCCGUGCCAGCAGCCGCGGUAAUACGGAGGAUCCGUGCGUUAUCCGGAUUUAUUGGGUUUAAAGGGAGCGUAGGUGGAUUGUUAAGUCAGUUGUGAAAGUUUGCGGCUCAACCGUAAAAUUGCAGUUGAAACUGGCAGUCUUGAGUACAGAAGAGGUGGGCGGAAUUCGUGGUGUAGCGGUGAAAUGCUUAGAUAUCACGAAGAACUCCGAUUGCGAAGGCAGCUCACUGGACUGCAACUGACACUGAUGCUCGAAAGUGUGGGUAUCGAACAGGAUUAGAUACCCCAGUAGUC
This 460-nucleotide ribosomal RNA is filed under the name uncultured bacterium. RNAcentral describes it as "partial 16S ribosomal RNA". It matches the Rfam family "Bacterial small subunit ribosomal RNA", at positions 338 to 795 of the family's 1533-position model. The record is from RNAcentral.